This is a non-coding RNA of Anguilla anguilla (European eel), 582 nucleotides long. NCBI's taxonomy places the organism in Eukaryota, Metazoa, Chordata, Actinopteri, Anguilliformes, Anguillidae. The record is from the annotation of a RefSeq genome assembly.
CCUGGGGGUGACAUCUCAAUGUGUGGAAACAGGAAGAGCUGUAUGCAAAUCUGGCCUGUGUGUCACCGUCUAUAACAGACCGUUCCUGUGAGAGCAGAGGGACAGUGAUGCGCGCCAGUCAAAGUCGUCCUCACUGCAACUGCACUGCAAAUAUGAUCCGUCUGCUCCUUCCCCUCUUGGCCUUUCUGCCAUGUCUGGACGCCAUCACUUUGACCUCCUCCCCUGCUCAGGCCAAGUCACCUGGAGGGUCCGUGAAGGUGUCCUGUCAGGUUUCUGGGUACGCCUUGACAGAUUACGGCACGAGCUGGAUUCGGAAGCGUCCGGGGAAAGCCAUGGAGUGGAUGGGAAUCAUCUGGGGAGGCGGAAGCAUCGACUCUCCCGCGCAGUUCAAGAGCCGGUUCACCAUCUCCAGAGACAGCAGCAACGUGCUGUACUUGGAUAUCAGCAGCCUGCAGACUGAGGACACAGCCGUGUAUUACUGCGCUCGACUCACACAGUGACGCAGGGCGGUGCCGCGUCUGUACAUAAACCCACAGGCUGCCUCAGAGACACACGGCCUCGUGCUCCCCUCCAGAUCAGUGA